RNAcentral lists this long non-coding RNA (968 nucleotides) under Cricetulus griseus (Chinese hamster). Its description in RNAcentral is "lncRNA (ENSCGRG00015032935.1)". Lineage: Eukaryota; Metazoa; Chordata; Mammalia; Rodentia; Cricetidae. The record is from RNAcentral.
GGCCUCAUGUUUCUGGGCCUGUGGUACAGCAAAAACACCACGAAAGAAAUGAGCACGGGAGGAAAGCUCCUCGUGUUACAGAAACUACAAAACACGAUAUGUGGUCAAGAGGCGGGGACAAGAUACACCCUGCAAAGGGGUGCUUACAGAGACUUGUUUCUACCACGGAGUCACCACCUCCUAGGAAUGCCGUAAGGGUAUGAGCCAACCAGUGGAUUAAUCCACUCCUGAGGUCUUCAAGAAUCAAACGCAUUCUGAACGCUGCUGCCACUAGAGACCAAGCUUUCAAUAUAUGAGCUUUUCCUGGUGACACUUUGUGGCUUGACAGCUGGAAGACAAACACUGCCAUGGCCAGGAGGAAGCACAUGUUGAGAGUCAAGGGUUGGGGAAGACCACCCUGUCCUCCAUGGGAGAGCAUUGCAAAGCUCCGUCUUGAAAGGCCUGAAACAGGGAGAGGUGAAGAACUGGGCCGAAUGAUGGCAUCCACCACCUUGCCUCCUGGCUCCUGAAUCCAGAACUGAUUUUGGGUGUGAUGUCACUACCUCAGUCUCUUCAGAGUCACUACCUCAGUCUCUUUGGAGUCUCGCUAUCUUUUUCUAUUUAACUUACUCUAAGGUAGAUUCUAAUGUUUGCUGUCAUUGAAAUUAACCAAGCCAGGUAAGGACUAUCAGCUCCAGCUCCACAUCUGCCUGCAUGCUGCCAUGCUCCCUGCCAUGAUGGCAAUGGACUGAACCUCUGAAACUUAUUGCAGGCUGGGCUGGUAACACAGAGAAAGAGAUGGAGAAAGCAGUGGUGUUGCAGUAACACUGAGGUGUUGGCAAGUCAAGCUGUGAAAGUUUGACAGCUGAAGAAGAAGCAACUGAGCAACUUGAGAGCAGCCGGGCAGGAAGAAAAGCCACGGAGGUAGAGAGAUACUAAGAGAGGGUGGAGAGCUAAGGCAAAAUGACAAAGGAUAUAAAGAACCAGAC